RNAcentral lists this ribosomal RNA (856 nucleotides) under uncultured bacterium. RNAcentral describes it as "bacterial SSU rRNA". It matches the Rfam family "Bacterial small subunit ribosomal RNA", at positions 8 to 853 of the family's 1533-position model. The record is from RNAcentral.
AGAGUUUGAUCAUGGCUCAGAUUGAACGCUGGCGGCAGGCUUCACACAUGCAAGUCGAACGGUAACAGGGAGAAAGCUUGCUUUCUUUGCUGACGAGUGGCGGACGGGUGAGUAAUGCUUGGGAAUCUGGCUUAUGGAGGGGGAUAACUACGGGAAACUGUAGCUAAUACCGCGUAAUAUCUUCGGAUUAAAGGGUGGGACUUUCGGGCCACCUGCCAUAAGAUGAGCCCAAGUGGGAUUAGGUAGUUGGUGGGGUAAAGGCCUACCAAGCCGACGAUCUCUAGCUGGUCUGAGAGGAUGACCAGCCACACUGGAACUGAGACACGGUCCAGACUCCUACGGGAGGCAGCAGUGGGGAAUAUUGCACAAUGGGGGGAACCCUGAUGCAGCCAUGCCGCGUGAAUGAAGAAGGCCUUCGGGUUGUAAAGUUCUUUCGGUGAUGAGGAAGGCAGGUAAGUUAAUAGCUUACUUGAUUGACGUUAGUCACAGAAGAAGCACCGGCUAACUCCGUGCCAGCAGCCGCGGUAAUACGGAGGGUGCGAGCGUUAAUCGGAAUGACUGGGCGUAAAGGGCACGCAGGCGGUGACUUAAGUGAGAUGUGAAAGCCCCGGGCUUAACCUGGGAAUUGCAUUUCAUACUGGGUCGCUAGAGUAUUUUAGGGAGGGGUAGAAUUCCACGUGUAGCGGUGAAAUGCGUAGAGAUGUGGAGGAAUACCGAAGGCGAAGGCAGCCCCUUGGGAAUAUACUGACGCUCAUGUGCGAAAGCGUGGGGAGCAAACAGGAUUAGAUACCCUGGUAGUCCACGCUGUAAACGCUGUCGAUUUGGGGAUUGGGCUUAGAGCUUGGUGCCCGUAGCU